This 21-nucleotide microRNA is filed under the name Solanum lycopersicum (tomato). RNAcentral describes it as "sly-miR9471b-3p". The record is from miRBase by way of RNAcentral. Lineage: Eukaryota; Viridiplantae; Streptophyta; Magnoliopsida; Solanales; Solanaceae.
UUGGCUGAGUGAGCAUCACUG